Molecule: RNA transcript, 3301 nt
Organism: Pseudopipra pipra
Lineage: Eukaryota; Metazoa; Chordata; Aves; Passeriformes; Pipridae
Gene: GABRB1
Gene name: gamma-aminobutyric acid type A receptor subunit beta1
Exons: 10
Source: RefSeq, a predicted model, not a curated record
CAGCGCGCGGCGCGUCCCCCGUGAGCGGCCGCCGGGAUGGGGGCGGCGGCCGGGCGGGCCGGACCGCGGGAGCUGCUGCUGCCGCUGGCGCUGGCCGUGGCGUGCGCGGCGCGCAGCGCCGACGGGCCCAGCAACAUGUCCUACGUGAAGGAGACAGUGGACAGGCUGCUCCAUGGCUACGACAUCCGCCUCCGCCCCGACUUCGGAGGUCCGCCCGUGGACGUGGGCAUGCGGAUAGAGAUCGCCAGCAUCGACCUGGUCUCCGAAGUCAACAUGGACUACACCCUGACCAUGUACUUUCAGCAGUCCUGGAGGGAUAAAAGGCUCUCCUAUUCUGGAAUACCUUUGAACCUAACUCUGGACAACAGAGUGGCUGACCAGCUCUGGGUGCCGGACACAUAUUUCCAGAAUGACAAGAAAUCAUUUGUCCAUGGGGUGACAGUGAAAAACCGAAUGAUUCGACUCCAUCCAGAUGGGACAGUCCUUUAUGGCCUACGGUUGAGCUGGUGUGCCAUGUUUUCUCCGGGGACAAGGCAGCUCUUUAGAUGCAUCUGGAUCACAACAACAGCUGCUUGCAUGAUGGACCUACGCAGAUAUCCUCUGGAUGAACAAAACUGCACACUAGAAAUUGAAAGUUAUGGAUACACUACUGAUGAUAUUGAAUUUUACUGGAAUGGAGGAGAGUCGGCAGUAACAGGAGUUAAUAACAUUGAGCUCCCACAAUUUUCUAUCGUUGAUUACAAGAUGGUAUCAAAGAGAGUGGAAUUUACAACAGGAGCAUAUCCUCGAUUAUCACUUAGCUUCCGGCUUAAAAGAAAUAUUGGAUACUUCAUUUUGCAAACUUAUAUGCCUUCCACGCUAAUCACAAUUCUUUCGUGGGUAUCUUUUUGGAUCAAUUAUGAUGCCUCUGCAGCCAGAGUUGCUCUAGGAAUCACAACUGUGCUGACCAUGACCACCAUCAGCACCCACCUCAGGGAGACCUUGCCAAAGAUUCCCUAUGUCAAGGCAAUAGAUAUUUACUUGAUGGGAUGCUUUGUGUUUGUGUUCCUGGCCUUGCUGGAAUAUGCCCUUGUAAACUACAUAUUCUUUGGGAAAGGACCUCAACAUCAAAAAAAGACAGCAGGCAGGGCAGGACGUGCUCCAGGCGAGAAGAGCAGACUGGAAACAAAUAGAGUCCAGGUAAAACAUCCAAGCUAACUUCUCAAUCAUUAUUUCUACUGUGACAAUGUUGAUGUAUAUGAUGAUAGAGAUAAAUGCAGAUGAAACACGUGCAAAAGCAUUUAAGAUUGCCUAAAGAAAAAUUGUAUUUUAAGAGAAUACAGCAAUGUAUGGUCUGUUCCAUCUUCAAUUGAAAACAUAGUAAGAAACCACAUAAAAUGCAAAUGAGUAUUCAGGAUACACAGUUCUUUGCAGCAGAGAAGGAAUACAAGGGUACAAGGGUACAAGGAAGUUAAAUAUUUACUACUUCAUCUGUAUAUUUCUUUGAUAUAGAAGGUGGUAUAGAAGAAAUGUUUAUAAUAAAGUUCCUCUUUACACACAGAAACUUCAUCAAAAACAAAAAGCAAAGACAGACUCUGUUGCUUCAGUGAGCCCUGAAUGAAGUCCACAUGACAGAGCUUCCAGGAACACAAGGAUGCCGCUGCUAGGUUAUAACAGCUUUCACAUGUCAGGAUUUUUCUUUCAGCUAAAUUCAAGCAGACCUCAAUUACCCUCUCUUAAAAAAAAUAAGCCAGAAAAGGUCUAGGAAGUAAUACUACGGACUUUUUUUUUUUUACAGGGACAAUUUUAAUUUUGCAAUACAUCACUGAGCACUUGCAAACUGCUAUAAACCUAUUUCAACUUUUCCCAGUUUUUCAGAAAUAAACCCUUCAAAGCCUCAGGUGUAUUUGGCCCAGUCUGACUCAGAGGAAAAUACAUAUUCUAAUGAGCCAAAAAUCUUCUUCCUUUCUCUGCUUUUCUUACAAUAUAUUACAUCCAAGUAUUAACGAGAUCUUACCCAGGCUGUCCUAUAAACUUCUGUACUGUUGUGGCCUGAGGCAAUAACAUUUGGUCAAAACUUUAUUCGAGCCCUCUGUUCAGCUGGAAAAAUGAGACCGACACAUAAAACUCUAACAGGUAAGACCGUAUCUUGAUGGAUGGUCGCAAUUUCACAUACAUAUCAGAAAGUGUGUUUCAGAAAUUCUGUGAUGUCUUAUUAGUUCUAAAUUUGUGUGUCUGGUGUCCCAGCAGCCACACCACUACAGCUAAGCAUCAUUAACAAAGCUGUCAUGUUCUCAGCCUCAGUGAACUCAUGAGCCCAUUAAAAGUCCUUACUCGCAUUUGCCUCCUGUCCCCUUGUAUAGGAGAUGCUUUAUUACAAUGGGGGCACAAUAUCAGUUCAGGCAACCAUCAGUCUCCAAGGUCCCACAAAGUACUGUCUUCCACAGAGCAGAGGAGAUAAGCCACCCUGUUAUGGAUUGUUGCACGCAGACACUGUCUAUGCUUUUCUAUGGCAAAAAAGGAAGGGAAAAAACCCAACAAAACUCACAAACAGACCAGCCACCUCAACAGCUCCUGAGAUAACCCAGCCUAGGUGAGAAGCAGCACAGCAAGGAUUCAGGAUGAAGAGGGAAUCAAUGCUUCUUCAGAGGUCAGCCUUGUCCCCAUGGGCCCCAGUGCACUGAACUGAGAAAAGGAUGAGAAAGUGUAAAGGAUAAGAGUGCCGGAACAAUGUACAUGGCUGAAGAAGUGGGACACAGUAAGGUUAUGUGAAAACAGCUUUGAGAUCCUCUCCACCGUGUUUUGAGAUUUUUCACUGGUGUUAUGAUGUCUGUACCAGAGCAGGGGAAAGUUUUUUUGGAGCAUAAAAGUACAGUUGUAAGUAUAUAUAGCUAUAGGAUAAUUUUUUCCCUUCUGCUCAUGACCCACAUCACUUAUCCAUACAGAGACUUCUAACCAAUAGAUGAUAUGUAACAGUGCUUCAUCUCUUUGUGCCAGGUGAAGAUAUUAAUCAUUUCCAUCUGAUAUGCAACUCCCAUGAGUAAAAGAGUUCAAAUUCCUUCACCAGAUAACAAAAGCAUUAGAUGUGUGAGCAACACUCAGCAAACUGACCAUGAUAUUAACAGUAUAGAGAAGACCAGAUGAACAAUGAAACUGAACUGCUGUUUCCUAUGUGGCUGUUCCUUUCUCUACAGACUGAAGAAGGUGGAAAUAGUGUCUUUCCAGUUUCACAAUUUAUGCCAUUUUAAUUUCUAAUAUACAAAAAAUAUUAAUUUGUAGUAAACAAUAUUUCUGUUUCUCUGAAUAAAGCAUAAAGACUGUU